UUUUAUUUGAGAGUUUGAUCCUGGCUCAGGAUGAACGCUGGCGGCGUGCCUAACACAUGCAAGUUGAGCGAUUUACUUCGGUAAAGAGCGGCGGACGGGGGAGUAACGCGUGGGUAACCUACCCUGUACACACGGAUAACAUACCGAAAGGUAUGCUAAUACGGGAUAAUAUAUUUGAGAGGCAUCUCUUGAAUAUCAAAGGUGAGCCAGUACAGGAUGGACCCGCGUCUGAUUAGCUAGUUGGUAAGGUAACGGCUUACCAAGGCGACGAUCAGUAGCCGACCUGAGAGGGUGAUCGGCCACAUUGGAACUGAGACACGGUCCAAACUCCUACGGGAGGCAGCAGUGGGGAAUAUUGCACAAU
RNAcentral lists this ribosomal RNA (364 nucleotides) under Clostridioides difficile. RNAcentral describes it as "bacterial SSU rRNA". It matches the Rfam family "Bacterial small subunit ribosomal RNA", at positions 1 to 372 of the family's 1533-position model. Lineage: Bacteria; Bacillati; Bacillota; Clostridia; Peptostreptococcales; Peptostreptococcaceae. The record is from RNAcentral.